Molecule: long non-coding RNA, 1505 nt
Filed under: Salarias fasciatus (jewelled blenny)
Lineage: Eukaryota; Metazoa; Chordata; Actinopteri; Blenniiformes; Blenniidae
Description: lncRNA (ENSSFAG00005014853.1)
Source: RNAcentral
AAGGACUAUGUCAAGCUCAGAAAGUUUAGUGAUUUGCUGAUGGAAAUGCAGUGUGCUAAAUCUGAAGGCGACCUUCCUGGUCUCUCAUUUCUGGACACAGCCAAAGGUGUUAAUCCCAUUGUCCAGAAGCUCCCAUUUAAUUUGCAGGAGAAGUGGAUAACAGUUGGCACGAACUAUAAAAUCAAAAACCAUGUCUCUUAUCCACCAUUUAGUGUUUUUGUGGACUUUGUUGCUCAAGAGGCAAGUGCUAGAAAUGACCCUAGCUUCCAGUUCUCCUCUCAACCUGAUGCUCCUCUCAAAUCAGAGAAACAACCCUGGAGAACAAACAGACAAAGAGAAAUAUCAGUGCACAAAACUGAAGUGGUCCCCAGCUCUAACUCAGACACAAGGGAAAACAGAAAUAGGAAGAUGGACAGUGACAAACUCUGCCCUAUUCACAAAAAAGAUCAUCCUCUUCCAAAAUGCAGAACGUUUCGCAUGAAGUCGCUUGAUGAGAGAAAAGCAUUCCUGAAAGAGAACAAUAUCUGCUAUAAAUGUUGUGCCUCUUCCAAGCACAUGGCGAAAGACUGUGAAAUAAAGGUGCAAUGUUCUGAGUGUAACAGUGAGAAACAUUGUGCUGCUCUUCACCCCAGUCCAGCUCCAUGGCAAAAAAAGACUGACCUGGUGGAAGAGCAUGGCGGGGAGCCAGCCAACUCAGAGACAAGUGCUGCAGAGAAAGGUCCUACAGAGCCAGACGGGAUCAACUCCAAGUGCACUCAGGUUUGUGGUAAAGACGAAGCAGGCAGAUCAUGUUCGAAAAUCUGUCUUGUUAAAGUCUACCCUGCCGGCUGUCCCAACAAAGCAGUACGACUCUAUGCCAUUCAUGAUGAACAGAGUAAUAGAUCAUUAGUCCGCCCUGAGUUUUUUGAGCUGUUUAAUGACUCGGGUCCUAGCGCUCCCUACUCACUUAAAACAUGCUCAGGUGUGAAAGAGAGCAUGGGCAGGAGAGCCACCGGCUAUGUAGUGGAGGCUUUAGAUGGUACAGUCCACAUCCCACUCCCUAGCCUCAUUGAAUGCAAAGAUAUCCCAGAUGAUAGGGAUGAGAUACCAACUCCCAGUGCAGCCAAGUAUCACAGGCACCUAAGGUCUGUGUCUCAUUUCAUUCCUGACCUGGACCCUAAUGCUCAAAUUCUAAUGCUACUUGGACGGGACGUAGUAAGAGUACACAAAGUCCGCAAGCAGAUAAGUGGCCCUCACAAUGCACCAUACGCACAAAAAUUGGACCUUGGGUGGGUCAUAGUGGGAAAUGUGUGUCUAGGAGAUGUCCACAAAACUUUGGCAGUGAAAACUCUCUUCACCAAUGCAACAGAGAAAGGCCGUCCCACAAUGUUUGAGCCAUGUCCAAAUGUGUACAGUGUAAAAGAAAAGCACUGCGACAUACAAGUUCCAUUCAGUCUCAGCACUCAGCUCAGUGACAGCACAUGUGAACCUGAUCAUUUAGGAUGCAAUGUGUUCAAACAAACCAG